Long non-coding RNA from Anguilla anguilla (European eel), 1038 nucleotides. RefSeq lists it as uncharacterized. The transcript is spliced from 4 exons. Lineage: Eukaryota; Metazoa; Chordata; Actinopteri; Anguilliformes; Anguillidae. The record is from RefSeq and is a predicted model, not a curated record.
CUGUAUAAAUACAUGUCAAAAAAGGUCAAAUAAAUGUCUUCAUUACUGUUGAAUAGCUGGCUGUCUUGCGCCAGCUAAUGUCAGGUUGCAGUAAAAUAGGUAACGUAUUGCCGCAAUACUUUAAGUUGGGUUCUUGAACGCCAUCAUUAGCCUACUUUUUGUUGAAGAUCAGAAAAUAAAUUCCAUAUAUUUGUUUUAGUUAAAAUCACAGGUGAUUGUGCACACCGCAUUAAAAUCCAGAAAUAGUAAACCGUCUCUCAACAAACUAUUGGCUAAUCUACGUGGUACACAGGAAAUAUUUUAUUUUAUUUUUGGUUACCCUGGAAAUUAUGACGUAUCUGCGGCAGUAGCUGGCAGGUAGCGUUAUUAUCACUUUGAGAACAGCUAAAUGUUUGAGAUUAGAACGUGAUUUAGCUGGCACGUUGAAGUUCUACCUGCUGUGCUACUUAUCUGUCUCCGUGAACAAAGCAUGAUGUGUGCGCUUUCGUUUGCUAUAUAAUUGCACUUAGGCUACAGUAAAGUCAAUGAACUCAUUGUUGCACUGCCCUUCUUAUUUCACAUGAAUAUAGGAAAUGCGGUAAUGAAUGUUUUCAAAUGAACGAUAACCAGGCUACAUCCGGUUCGUGGGCAAAUGACAGUUGGCUACUAUGAAGCGAGUAUACUAUAGUGGAUUAUUUCACAAAUAAGAGCCUGGUGUUCGUUCAUUAAAUUGAACCAUGUGAGGGGGGCUGUGUUACUCGCUAACUUAUUUUACACUUGGAAUCCAGCUUGAAGUGUAUAUCUGUGGUGUCACCACUGAGGCCAACAGGAAGACAGAGUGCGGAAGCUGUCUCUGCUUAGUCGACAUGACUGAAUUCUGGGUCUGUUUCAGUUGCUGCAUUGCAGAGCAACCCCAGCCAAAAAGUCGACGGCGAAUUGACCGUUCUAUGAUCGGAGAGCCAACCAAUUUUAUCCACACCACACAUGUGGGAUCUGGGGACAUGAGUUUGGGAUUUUCAUCUGUGGAAUCUUUUCAAGUUCAAAUGAAAUCAAAAGGCG